Molecule: small nuclear RNA, 105 nt
Filed under: Sorex araneus (European shrew)
Lineage: Eukaryota; Metazoa; Chordata; Mammalia; Eulipotyphla; Soricidae
Source: RNAcentral
UCUGUCCUAGUUUUGUAGACUAUGCUAAACCUGGAACAAUACUGAGAAGAUUAGCAUGGCUUGUGUAUGGAUGACACACGCUUUAAAAAAAAAAAAAAAGAAAAG